AAGUAAGAAGCAAAUAUUGCAAUCAGUUUCGACCUGAUCCUUGAUGAAAACCCUCAUCCUUACUUU
Molecule: transfer RNA, 66 nt
Filed under: Pericapritermes sp. A TB-2017
Lineage: Eukaryota; Metazoa; Arthropoda; Insecta; Blattodea; Termitidae
Description: tRNA-Arg
Source: RNAcentral